UCCAGAGCGUCGAGUCGAGGGCCUCGUCCUGUGUACGGAUAGUCUUGUUACGUGCAUCGGUGAGGGUACCCCUUAUUGAUACCCUCGACACUCAACAUAUUGUAGUUGUAAAAUAAAUCUAGGUUCUUUUGCCUCUCCUCAUCCCACUUGCUCAAAGAACCAUAACUGAUCUCAGGCCAUGAGGAUUGAAUCAUUCUAAUCCUAGCAAAUAAAAGGGCAUACAUAGCGGCAACAAGAUCUGUAGCACGAGCAAAAAACAUGUGCCUCUUCUCUUGCAAAUCCAUCUAGAAGAUAAAACGUGGACAAGUGCUCAGACAAAAUUUAGGAUCAACGCUGACGAGGACAUAAACUCAGACUAACUGAAAAUCAUCAUACACUUGGACAAUAGCUCAGACAUAAUGAAAUCAUCAUAGACUUGGACAAAUGCUCAGACAUAACAAUAUAAUCCUCAUAUACUAGGACAGUAUCUCACAAAAAAUGUCAUCAUCACAAACUUGAGCAAUAGCUUAGCAAAAAAGGCAUUUUCAUAUAAUUGCUUUUAACCUCAGAAAGUAGGAUAUGCAUCCAAAUAAAAGAACACAAAACUCCAUAUCACACGCUACAGAUUAAAGGGAGAGGCGACAGGGGGAGGAGAUAAACAAAAUACCCACGUCAACAAGCAUGAGACCCAACAAAGCACAAUAGCAAUUGAGGCAAGUCAGAUCUGCAAGCACAAAUCCAUAACAAACAUGAUUCACAUACAAGUUAGGAUUUUGAAACCAAAACAAAAAAGAAAAAAAGAAAUACACAUGAUGAUGGAUCCAUACCUCAAAAUUAGGCAAGAAAUUAGAUCUGCCAUGCCUGCACCUAGAUGAACAACAAACGACACCUAGGGUUUCUAAAUCGGUAACAAAAAUAAAGGAUAAAAUGAGGGAAACUCACUUGCUUCGAGAGACGUCACAUCCACGGCACCUGCAACAAAUCUAGAGAGAGAGAAAGCAUUAGCAUGCCACGAAUCGAUCAAGAGCAAAGGCACACAAGAGAGGAUGGAGGAGGAAGAGCACGAACCCUAAGAACCUUCGGUGUAGAUGGGGAGUGACGAGAAGAGAGGGAGGACAUGUGAAGGGGGAUAUAUAGGCGGUGAAUGGCGGGAACGGGGAGGUAACCCUAGAAACUUCGUAUCAUCUCCUCACGCAUAGAAUCGCCCCGCAUGAGCUCGCGAGGGCAUGGAGUGAGUCAGGCUGAAGAAAAAACAGCCGAUUCGGGCUUUCUUUGGGAGCCAGGCCCGGGGGGCUUUUGCACGCACUCAGCUAGGCUCGAGGGCAGAGCCAGGUAACCAAACAGUGGUAGGCUACAUCUUGGGAGCCUGGUUCUUCCAUAUGCGGGCAACCAAACAACCCCUUAGAGCACACUAGAGAAACCAUAAACACAUAUUUGUAUAGAGUAGCAGUUUAUGGUUUUUUAGUGGUAAUUUAGUUUGAACUCUUAGAUAUAAGUUUGCUCAAUCCACUCCAACCGGUGUUCAUGGGAUCUUUCGUUGACUCAAAAUGCUAGUUCUUCAUAAUUUAAUCUCGGACAUGCUCUUCUUAAAAUAUUAGUAUUUUUAGUUAUUAAAAUAAAAAAUCUCGAUGACAAAAAGGAAAGAUAAAAAUGCAGUGGGAUAUUCUCUGCUUAAAAUAUUAGUAUUUUUAGUUAUUAAAAUAAAAAAACUUGAUAACAAAAAGGUGAGAUAAAAAUGCGGGUAAAUUUAAUGUAGGACAUUCUUUGAUGUUGAUAUUUGUUGAUAGAAAGUAUUCCAUCUGUCUCUAAAUUUAUUGGUGUACGUGCCAUAAGUUUGACUUAAUUUAUAGAAAAUAUACGUGCAGCAAUUGUAACUUUAAAUAAAUUUAUUUAAAAAUUAUGACUCAAAGUUUUUUCUAAUGAUACUAAUUAUGCACCAUAAAUAUUAAUAUUUUUAAUAUAUAUUUAUUUAAAGUUGUUUCUUAGAAAGCAAAGACGAUAGAUAUUUAGGGAUAGAAUGAGUACUCAAUAUUGUUUUUGCUAGCGUACAUCCUUUACUUAUGACAAUUGGCUCUUACACACUAUACCUUUAAAACAAUAUUUUAAGGAGUGGAUGGGAUUGCGAAACUAAAAGUGAUUGUUAGAGCAUCUCCAAGAGUAUCUCAUAUCCCUUCUCCGUCCAUGUUUUUUGGGAAAAAAAGAAAAAAAACUCAUAUCCAAGAGUAUCACAUAUCUCAUCCCCAUCUUUCGGCACUUAGCAAACCAUCCUCAAUCAUGUGUAAAAUGCAUGCACCAUAGUCACGACGUAUCCCCGUAGCUCCCCGCGUCUCCUCCUCCUUCCCUCGACUAUUUCCCACAUGUCUUCUCCUUCACGCUAUAGCACAAGCUCCGUCUAGCGAAAAGGAUCUUUGACACCGUCGACCUAGGGUUGAGAUAUGCCAUGGAUCUACUCGGCC
RNAcentral lists this long non-coding RNA (2435 nucleotides) under Sorghum bicolor (sorghum). RNAcentral describes it as "long non-coding RNA (SBIC_LNC001446)". The record is from RNAcentral. Lineage: Eukaryota; Viridiplantae; Streptophyta; Magnoliopsida; Poales; Poaceae.